This 272-nucleotide ribosomal RNA is filed under the name uncultured bacterium. RNAcentral's name for it is "partial small subunit ribosomal RNA". It matches the Rfam family "Bacterial small subunit ribosomal RNA", at positions 26 to 285 of the family's 1533-position model. The record is from RNAcentral.
AGAAUCAACGCUGGCGGCGUGCCUAACACAUGCAAGUCGAACGCGAAAGUCCCGCAAGGGAUCAGUAGAGUGGCAAACGGGUGAGUAACACGUGGGUGACCUGCCUUCGAGUGGGGGAUAACGUCCCGAAAGGGACGCUAAUACCGCAUAACAUCCCGCCUUUUAACAGGUGGACAUCAAAGCUGGGGAUCGCAAGACCUAGCGCUUGAAGAGGGGCCCGCGCCUGAUUAGCUAGUUGGUGGGGUAAUGGCUCACCAAGGCAACGAUCAGUA